GGACUGUGGCUCAGUGGUAGAAUGCUUGCCUAGCAUGUGUGAGGCACUGGGUUCGAUCCUCAGCACCA
This 68-nucleotide transfer RNA is filed under the name Marmota monax (woodchuck). Its description in RNAcentral is "tRNA.Ala". Lineage: Eukaryota; Metazoa; Chordata; Mammalia; Rodentia; Sciuridae. The record is from RNAcentral.